RNAcentral lists this long non-coding RNA (19416 nucleotides) under Prunus persica (peach). RNAcentral describes it as "long non-coding RNA (PPER_LNC001591)". The record is from RNAcentral. Lineage: Eukaryota; Viridiplantae; Streptophyta; Magnoliopsida; Rosales; Rosaceae.
GAAAAUUCAAUUUAAAUCCUUUCCUUUCUUGAACAGCCAGCCAUUUCUCUCUCUCGUUCUCCUAGUUUUUCUGUACGCACAACUUCAGACCCUGAAGGCCCCAAAAGAAGGUAAACGUUAAACGAAGAGGAAAACCCAUAAAUUAAUUAAUUAGGGUUCUUCUCCUCCUCUUCUUCUUCUUCUUUGUGCUCUGGUGCUCUGGUGCUCUGGUGCUCUGGUGCUCUAGUGCUCUAGGCAUGUUGUUGUGAACUAUUGACCUAUUUCGGUUGGUGGGUUUUUCCGGGUUUUGUUCACAUAGAUCUGGGGGCCAUUAAAUGUUUAAAAUUUAUAGAAGAAACCCAGAAAAUAUUUUGUAGUUUUUGAGUGUAUGAACAUAAUAAUAUAUGUGAAAAGUGGUUGGUUUGAAUUUUUUUGAAGGGAGAUGGUGAAAAUGAUGAGGGAGAAGAUCAAGAUCAAGAAGAUUGACUACCUGCCAGCAAGGCAGGUGACCUUCUCAAAGAGGAGAAGAGGGAUCUUCAAGAAAGCUGCAGAGCUAUCUGUUCUGUGUGAAUCUGAGGUGGCAGUUGUCAUCUUUUCUGCUACUGGCAAGCUUUUUGAUUAUUCAAGCUCAAGGUACCAGCAACACCCACCCCUAUACCUUAUAAUUCUUUUGACUUUUCCUUCCUUGAAAAAAUAACCAAUAUGUAUGAUCAUGGUGUCUCUGAAGUCUGAUGACUUGACUUCUCUCUAUGUGGGAGAGGGAGAGGGAGAGAUUCUGAGAUUCAGUCAUUUGGGUAGAAAUAUAUUUAGAGGAGAGGGAGGGUGCCUUUCUGGAAAUUCCCUGUCCUUCCUGAAAUUCCGUGGUUUGAACUGAGCUCACAGACAUUAUUUAUUGUGUCUAAACUUCCGAAAGAAAAAAAGGAGAAUCCAGAAGCUUAGAGAGAGAGAGAGAGAGAGUCAGUCUUGUAGAUGAUACUUUUAGAUAUUACUUUUUUGGGGUCGAUUUUUACUUUUAGAUAUACUCUGUCUCAAAGGCAACUAGUUCGAGGGUUACUACCUUGUAUAUAUACCACUCCAAGAAAAUAGUCUAUUUUUGAUAAAGAAAACUUCUAGUUAGGUGUCCCAGUUUGAGAAACAUUAUUUUUUUAGUUUUCCAUGUUUUUCAUGCAAGAUGUGGUGUAUAUAUGGUGAUGUUCUUUUUUACGUGCAAUCAAUUUUGUUUACCAUAUGCUAAACUCUGUAUAUCUUGUUCGGUAACUGGUUUUCAUAUAUACUCGCAUAGUUUAGUAUGUUGCUGCUUCAAUAUCAUGUCCCACCUAACACAUAUUGGUAAUAGAUAAUAUAUGAAAUCUUAGGUCGCGCUUAUACAGUGAAGAAUAUCCCUGUCCAAGGAGCUAAAAUUAAUGGUUCCCUUAUGAGAGAUACGGUAUGUUAGAUCAUCAGUCGAAUCAUACACUCAAACAACAAUACAGAUCACCAAUUUUAGAUUCAUAGUCUGACCACAUAAAAUGAUAAAUUUGCUAAUAAAAUAGCAUUUUACUCUUUACCAUAUAUAUACAUCUAUUUGUAUAUAUAUUAUCCUUUGAACUUAAGAUAGUGGCGGGUUGUGUUUGAAAAGGUGUCAAUUCAUUUUCCCCACCUAAACUACAAAAUGCCAGUUUGGCCAAGGGGAAAGUAGCACCCAACUCCUUAUAAGCUUUCGUUAGGUUUCUCAACUUCCAAAAAUUAUUGUGGGACAUUUCUUCACAUUCUCACACGCCCCCUCACGUGUGGCGACAUUUCAAGCCUAACACGUGGACAUCACAUUAGGUGACGUAGAGCAAGUGUGGACAUUGGGCUUCACACGUGAACAAACCCGCUAUGAUACCAUAAAGGAAGUUGAGGUUUCACCCCAAAAUCAAUUGGCCAAUAGGAGGAGUAACCCAACUCCUUAUAAGGCCGUGCUAAGUUUCUCUAACUUUCCAAUGUGGGACAUUUCUUCACAUUCUCACAGUUACAUUGAAUUAUGUGAUUUGUAGUUUUCUUACUAGGAAUAAAGUGAUAUGAUGAUAACUUGGGAAUUCAUCAUAGAAGCCUUGAAGACUUUCAGCAGGAAUAUGCAUGCAUGCUUUCCAAUAAGGCAAUGGGUGGUGGAGCCAUGACCAUUACAUGUUUUUGCCAUGAUUGCAUGAAAGAUUUUGUUAAAACCUAGUUUCAUACUUAGAUGUGCAUGCAUGAGAGGGAGGGUGAGAAUGAAAUGUUAACUAUGGAAUACGAAUUUAAAUAAGGUCAUGUGCUUCCUUUCAGUUAACAAAAAUAAUUGCACAUUGUAAGCGCUGGUCAUUUAUAUUUAAUUAAAAAAAACCUAGAAAUACUACCUCUAAGGUGGUCUUCUUUAACCCAAAAUACACUCCAUAUAUAAAAAGAAUACUCUUAUAUGGCGAUGGUUUUUUUUAUAAAAAUAUUCUGUAUUGUGUGCACGAAUUAACAAUUUUUUUUUUUAAUUUAAAAAAAGUUAUCAUCUAAAAGCUACAUCUAUUUGCGUUGGUUAUUAUCGAACAACAUUAAAAGACAGAGAAAUCAAAACUGUAAGUAACAAACACGUACUAAUGGAGGUCUUUAAUUCUUUAUGUCAGAGUGCAAUUUCUAAUCAAUUUCCGUUGUAAAUUUAAUUUAAAUGUUAAUUUUCUAGGUUUCUGGGCCUAAUUUGUCUACUUUUUUUAUUUUUUCUAUUUUUAAAAGUUUUUCUAAUUGUAUUUCUAUUAAAGCUCUCGAUAUUGCAUUCCAUGUUUCCAUUUGUGCAUGUGUACUUGCAACCAAUGCAUAAGCCAUAAAACGAUCUUGCAUUGAAACUAAAGAAGAUUUUGCUUUGCAUUAUUUUUCAAACUUUUCCAAGUUUCCAAGUAGAGCAAUGUGUCAAACGUUUCCAAGUAAAGGUUCCAUGAGACUCAUCCAUUCUUAAUGCACGGGGCAGAGGUUGAAGUCUAAAACCUAUACAUGACCUAGCCCGAAGCGGAUAGCUUUUCUUAAGGUUUUUAAGGGUUUAGUAAUGAUUCAUCUUUGCAUGGUAGCCUACCAAACCUAACAAUAUAUUCAAAGCAUAUUAGUCGACUUGAUGGUCUCAGAGUUGACGUCAGAGGAACUGUGACUAAGAUUUUUGAGGCCCACUUCUUAUCAGUUGACUUGAUACGUGGGUUUGCUUUGCUUUGUGUUCGAAAAUAUCUCAGCUGCUAUUGAAGGAAUUUGACUUGACGUUUUCAUUUGCGAUAUGUGAUUUGUGUGUUUUAAAGCCAAGCUGAUAUUUUUUUUAUUUUUUAUUUUUUUGGUUUGGGGGGAGGGGGUUCUUAGCUUAUUGCAUGCAUGUGUAGUUUGGUUACUGUUGAUAUUACUUUUUGUAAUAAAUUCUAAUGAAAUAGGUAAUAUAUUCUUUGUACUUGGUUUCUCUUGAGAUGAUUAGUCCCUUUCUUGGGUCUGCAAUAUAUAAUUGGAGGAAAUCAAAUUUUGGGUCUGCAGAAAAUUGGAAAUCAAAGUUUGCAUUAUAAUUGAAACUGAAAUUUCUCUGAUAUCUGGUUAUGUUAGUUAUAGAAACCAAAGUCAGAAAAUAAUUCAAUCAAAAGCCAUGCACACAUAUCAUACAAUGAUAUCAUUUAUUAGUCUUAUACAAAAAAAAUAAAAAUAAAUAAACAUGAGUGUAUCUCUGUGUUUGCAAACCAGAAGUUUGAAUAAUGGGGGUUAAAUUCUUUUCCAUGUUUUUGUUUCUCAUGUAUGCUUAGUCACGUUAAUUUUUCUGUCUAAUAAUUUACUAGUGAACAUGCCAAUUGAUUGUUUUUUUUAAUCCUUUUCUGUUGUGAAGUAUCAAGGAUGUUAUUGAAAGGUACGAAGUGCGCACAAAUGGUGUCGAAAAAUCGGAUGAACAGUCUCUUGAGCUGCAGGUAAAUGAGUUCAAUGAUUUUCCCUUUCCCCCUUUUAAUUGUUCUGCAAUUAAUUGUAACAUACUCUGUGAUCUGCACUUUGGAGCUUCAAAAUGUAUCUCUAUAGCAUCCGACGGUUCUGAUUGUUUGAACAUAGAUAAAAAAAGCAUUGUCAGACUCAUGUAUAUGCAUGCAGCAGGGUCGGCCUCUUGGGCUAAAUAUAUAUAGGUGGCUUUGAUAAGUCCCAACUCUAGUGGGACUUCAUCUGGUGUACAUAAAGAAUUAGCCAAUGAAAAAUUGGAACAUAGAAUCAUCAUCAAAUAUCAAUUAUUAUUUACUUUUACCGUUGGUUGUUUUCCAAGCGUUCCUUUUUUUCAUUUUUAAUUAUGCUAAAGGUAGAGUGUGAAGUAUUGUAACCAUUUGAGUUACAAAUUCAUUGUUUUUCAAACUUUAGUUUUAGGGGCAUGCAGCUGAUUUAAUUUCUUAUGAUAGUUGAGUUGGAGACUUCUAUUGAAUCGAUAUUACAGCCUCCUAGAGUAUCAGUUUUUUCUCCCUAAUUUUAAUAACUUAUUGGUUUAGAAAAAAGAAAAGGAACGAUUUUACUUUUUUGUUUUGAAAUGAGUGAUUUUCUGUCCAAAAUGUAGUACGAUUUUACUAUUAUGUUUUGACAAUAUUGAUUAGGGGUGGGAGGCCAUAGGCUUAAGUACAUCAGUUAAAGGUAACCAAUAACCGUAGCUCUCACGCAGCUGAAAACAGAGACCAACCGCACUCGCAUCUAGGCUCUCACACCGCAAUCACAUUAAGGGGAGGAGCUCCACCCCCCUUCUAACGUCCUCGUUGGCCCACUCUAUCUACACUGACUCGGUGGUAGCCUUUUACUUUCUUUGAGGCGGCUUCACUCAACUAUCAGUAUUCAGUGAUCAAUAUCAUGCCCAUACAUAACACCGAUCAUCUUAAUCCAAUGUAUAGGUCACCCCUUUUGUGGAAUUGGGCCCAGUUGCGUGGUGAACUCAGGCUUUGAUACCAAAUGUUAAGAACUCAUGGGUAGAAUUUGCCCUUAAAAACCGGCUUGUAAGGAAAGGAUGCCCUUGAACUCUUAAACCAUUCUAUAGGAUAUGCUCUUUUUCCAAUGUGGGAUCUUGAGUCCUAACAGACGGCUAAUCUUUGCCCCCCUCUAUUUUAAGCCCCUAUGUCUCUCAUCUCCUCUAAUUUCCCUUCUCCUCCUCUCAUCCCCUCACCCACACACCAGUUCCUUUCUCUCCCCCUUCCAUGAGAUUUGAAACCCUAAAAUCCUCCUCUCCCCUUACGAUUUUCUUAGUCUAUUGGCUUGUUGCAGCUGCUUCUCCCUCCAACCCACCCUCAUAUCUGGCUUUUGCUAUGGACGUGUGGUGGACUAUGUCAUUUAAUGGUCAAUUUUGACCCCCCCUGGAUCACUUGAGUAUGAUGAAUGUUGGUGGCUUGCUCCUCCAAAUCCAUGCUAUACAAAUCCUUGUUGGUUUCUUUGGACAUUCUCCUUCUAACAGCGGCGGCGGCGGCGUCGAUUCUGUUUUUCUGUUUUGGGCCUAGAAUUGGGCUUUUAUUUUCUUUUAUUGGUUGAGCCCUUGUUUCUCUCUUUUUGACUUUGUAUUGGGUUUUAUGCCAUAGUAGUUAUGAUAUUUAGAACAUACAAUCCCGAUCUCUUGGACUACAGGGGUGCAAGAGUUAUGCCAUUAAUUUCUGUCAUAAUAAUUAUGAUAUUUAGAACAUGCCUCUGUUCCAAAACUGUAAACCAUAAAUAUUUAGAACAUCAACGCAUUCCACAAAUCAUGUCUCCACCUACAAAUCACACUAAACUUCACCCAAAACCGUAAAUAUGCCUCUAUUCCAGGUAUAGCCACCUCAAAACUUGUAAUCGAGGUUCCUAGAAACUUCAUACCUCUAGUCCAGGUAAUUAAACCCAUAAGCCACCUCUAGUCCAGAUAAUGAAAUCCAUAAGUUACCUCUAGUAUAGGUAAAAAUGAAACCUCCACAACAUAUAUAGUCACACCAAAGUAUAUUGAGAUGAAACUCCAUUAACAAAUGCUUUGAAAAACCUAAGAAAAAAUGCUGAAUUUAUCAAGGGUAAAAUUGCCAUAUUUGUUUCAAACUAGCAUGAUUGUAGGAGAUGCCUAAAUUUUAGGGAGGUGCUUUCAUAGACUUCCAUUUCUGGAAGUGGCAUACACUGUUAAUUCAUUAAAAAUUGUGGACAUACAUGGUGGUUGGACUACAAUUGAAAAAGUAGAGCAUGUGGACUGCCCCAUAAUUUUUCCCACUUGAAUUCAUCCCAAUCGUGUCCUACAUCACAUAUUGUGCGUCUCUAUCAACGCUUACAUACUUGCAGAGAUCCAAACCUUGAAAGUUGUCUAAUCUCUCUAGGAACCCCAAACCUCUAGACGGUGACAAACUCUCACUUUGAUUUCAUUUGAGGCUUAGCCCCUACAUAGCCUUUUUUAAGUAGGCUCACAGAGAACCCUAAUUUUGUUAGCUACCUAAAUCCUGAAGAAACUAGGAAAUCAAAAAUACCCAGAACGACCUCAAAACCCCAUGAAGAGAACAGAAAACAAGCAGCACAGUACAGUCCCCAUAAAAAUCACCUUGCCUGAAUGUAUACAAUAUUCCCACACGAAAAAAAACUGUAAACACGGGUUGAAGAACUCCAAAUUUAGAGCUGCUGCACAAGACUAACAUGAAUACUUAGGUCAAAAUUUCAUUAAAUUCUUUAUCUCUAUAGAAGUAGAGUGGCAUUGCCAUAAAGUCCACCAAGGAUAAAAAAAAUAAGUAUCUUAAGCUCUAAUAUUUGACCUAGCAAUAUCAUGGCCUAUGGAGGACUUUGAUUAUGCGAUUUUAACGUGCCAUCUUCCAAUAAAGUAAGAGUUGGGAUACCCUAUGUGUUAAUAUUGUGCUUUAGAUUUAAUCUGUUACCUCAAUUUAAUCAGUACAAGUUCUUAUUCUAUUUGCCUCAAUCGAAAAUUCGAAUUUCUGCGAGUUGGGUUUGUUGCUGUUAAUUAAUUCCCUAAGUUUUUCAAAGGUAUUAAUGACUACGACAAAUUGUAAAUCCAUGUUCUUGUAUGUUCAAGUAAUUCCAUUUCAAAAAAAAUAUUGUAAUCCUUUUUUUUUUUUUUUUUUUUUCCCAUUAUGUUGUUUUUUUGUUUCUUUACGGGGCUGACGUUUAAAAGCUUUUCAUGUAACAGAGACAGAUUAAAUUCUCUAAAUGAUGGUUCCAAUAUUUCUCAUUUUAGCUGGAGAAUGAAAACCACACCAAACUCAGUACGGAACUUGAGGAGAAGAACCGCCAGCUGAGGUACAAAUUUAUUAAAUCAUCAUGAACUUGUAAGAUAUAUGUGGCUGUUUAGCUGGUAUUGUUGUUUGAUGUUUCUGCUGGAAUUGGACUGGCUUGCAACAGGCAGAUGAAAGGUGAGGAUCUUGAAGAGCUGGAUCUGGAUGAGUUGCUGAAGUUGGAACAACUGGUGGAAGCAACCCUUGUCCGUGUGAUGGAAACUAAGGUCUGCCCCUUGUGUAUGCAGAGUAUAUUUUAAUUGCUCUGUGUUGUGAAAAGCAAAUAAACUAACAUCUAAAUGCAAAUUUCAGGAAGAACUGAUUAUGAGUGAUAUUGUGGCACUUGAGAAAAAGGUUAGAUGAUUGAUACGUACUCUGUAAAUGAAAACAAAUUUCAGCAUAAAUAAUCAGCAUAAAUAAUCAUAACAAAGUUUGGCUCUGGUUUUCUCUUGCAUGCACCAACUAUAAUUUCAGGGAACUGAGCUGGUAGAAGCCAACAAUCAGAUGGUGAUGUUAAGGGAGAGGGUAAGCAACAUAUAUAUUGUUCUUAAUAAAAGAUGGGUUGAUCCUUUUUUCUUUUUUUAAAAUAAAUAUUUUGUAUUUUUUGCAUAGCAGAUGGUGAUGUUAUCCAAAAGAAAUACUGGACCUGCGCUUAUGGAGCCAUCUGAAUCUGCUACCUCCACCAGCUGCAACAGUGCUCUCAGUCUCUCUCUUGAAGAUGACUGUUCCGACGACGUCGUUUUAUCUCUCAAACUGGGGUGAGCUAGCUUUCUUUUGCUUUGCUAUUUGUGUAUAUAUAUAUCUUUGCUUUUUAAGUUUGAUGAGAUCAGAGAAUAGAAGUUUUAGAAUUUUGAAUACUCGGUCGGUUGUCGUGCAAUACAGAACAACUAGGAUAUUUUCUGUACUUGUCAACUUGAUUCUGGGUUUCAAUUUUAACUUUACCAAACCAAAAAUAUUGGAUGUUUUCUGUACUUGACAAUAUUUUUUUAUUAUAGAAAUGUUAUUUGAAAGUCAUCAUGAGUUUCAGAUAUUUACAGUAAUAUGUUUUUGGAAAAAAGAUAUAUCAUUUGGGGCUAACCAAAGUGUUUUCACCUCUUUACCACUUACCCUCCCAAGCAUUUUAAUUAUUCAUGGUAUUUUAUUUAUUCUUCACCAUUUUUAAUAAAUUUUCUUUUCACUUUACUAUGAAUUUCAGGCGUCCCUAAUUUCCUUGGUUAAGAAGUGGAGAAAGAUGAAAGUUUACUCUCCUUAUAGCUAAAUAAAGAAAGUUGUGGUAUUGUGAGAUAUCGAUGAUUGUGUGUUUUAAUUUGAUAGCAGAUUGAAAAUAUUGAAGGGAGAGUAACUUUGUGUUGUAUCAAAACAUGUGUAUUACAUGCAACCUGUGACAUAUUGCUCUUUGACUUUGUAUUGUAUUUAGAACUCUGUAUCAAUGCAGCCUGCGUGGAGAGACUUGUUAAUUUUGUAUUGUUUGGGUUAUCAAUGUCACACAGGCUAACGGUACGCGCGGGUCGUAGACCGAUGUGCUUAAAGACUUAGAUGUCUUUCUUCAUUGUUUUCACGUUACAAAGCUCAUUUCAAGAUAUCGUGAAGUUUAGUCCCACGAAUGACAUUAUAGGUAAAAUUGUUUAUUUAUACUAUUACAACUCAUGUACACCAAAACUUAAACCAGACAAAAACAAGUGAAAUAAAUUUUUAAUGUAGGAACCAGAAUGUUUAAGAAGAAACUCAUAUAAUUGUCUGCGUGGAUUAAAUCAACACAAGUGGCCUGGGGAAAGUAACCUGAGCAAGAUAAAGACGAAGCCAUGUGUCAUGGUGGGCUCAAUCAAGUGGCUUGACAGCGCAUGACCUGUGUCAAAGUGCCAUCCUCCACACCCAAAAAAAAAAAAAAAAUUUCUUCUUUCCUUUGUAGCCUGACACGUAAUAAGAAUUUUACCGACAGAAAAAACAAAACUUAGAUAUUUCUGACAAACUCCUUCACAAAAAGUCAGAUGCCACAUUUUCUCAAGUCACAUAUCAACGGUGGAGAUUGCAUUCAUCAACGUCAACAGCAUCUGUGCCCGUCGAUUUGCUCAGGUUUCUUAACCUUGUUUCCCCAGAAGAUAAUAGAAGAAUAUAUUUUUCCAUAUAAAGGAAAAUUCAUAAAUCAUUUCAUUUCCUUUCUUGACCAACAACAAGACAGCAGCAGCAGCAGCCAUUUCUCUCUCUCAUUUCGAACGCAGACCCCGAAACCCACCAACGAAGGUAAACAUUAAACAAAGAGGAAAACCCAGAAUUUAAUUCAUUAGGGUUCUUCUCCUCCUCUUCUUCUUCUUCUUUGUGUUUUGGGUGGUGGGUUUUUCUGGGUUUUGUUCAUUUAGAUCUGGGAACCAUUAAAAGUUUAAAAUUGAGAAGAAACCCAGAAAAUAUUGUAUAGUUUUUGAGUGUAUGUGAAAAGUGGUUGGUUUGAAUUUUUUUGAAGAUGAUGAGGAAUAAGAUCAAGAUCAAGAAGAUUGACUACUUGCCUGCAAGGCAGGUGACCUUCUCAAAAAGGAGAAGAGGGCUCUUCAAGAAAGCUGCAGAGCUAUCUGUUCUGUGUGAAUCUGAGGUGGCAGUUGUCAUCUUUUCUGCUACUGGCAAGCUUUUUGAUUAUUCAAGCUCAAGGUACCAGCAACAUACCUUAUAAUUAUUUUGACUUUUCCUUCCUUGAAAAAAUAACAAUAUGUAUGAUCAUGAUGUCUCUGAAGUCUGAUGACUUCACUUCUCUCUGUGUGGGUGAGAGAGAGAGAGAGGGGGAGGGAGAUUCUGAGAUCCAGUCAUUUGGUUAGAAAUAUAUUUAGAGGAGAGGGAGAGUGCCUUUAUGGAAAUUUCCUGUCCUUCCAGAAAUUCCAUGGUUUGAACUGUGCAAACAGACAUUAUUUAUUGUAUCUAAGCUUCCAACAGAAAAAAUGGAGAAUCCAGAAGCUUCCAGAGAGACUUUUAGAUAGGUUUUUUUUCUGUUGUCGUCGAAAUAUACUUUUAGAUAGUCAUACUCUGUUUCAAAAAAACCUAGUUCGAGGGUCACUACCUUGUAUAUCUAUCCACUUAAGGAAAAUAAAGUCUGCUUUUGACUAAGACAACUUCUGGAAAGAUGUGGUGUGUAUGAUGGUGAUGUUCUUUUCUUGUACUACAUGCAUGCAUAUGUAAAACUGUGUACGUAUAUAUCUUGUUUAGCAAAUUCUGUAAUCUUAAACCCUUAUACACAAGUAUAUCUCGCUGCUUCAAUCUCAUCCUUUCCCACCUAUCACAUGUUGGUAAUAGAUAUUAUAUAAUAUCUUAGGUGGGGCCUAUACAAUGAAGAAUAUCAUUGUCCAAGUCCAAAUUAAAAUUAAUGUUCCCUUGUGAGAGACACGAUAUGUUAGACCAUCAAUCGAAUCAUACACUCAAAUAAUAUAACAGACUUUUUUUAAAUUCAUAGUUUAACCACAUAAAAUGAUAGUGACUAUAGCUAGUGAGUGAGUAUUCGACCCUUUACAAUAUGUAUAUACAUCUAUAUGUAUAUAUGUUAUCCUUCGAACAUUCUUCCCACUUAAAUUAAUGUUCUCUUGUGAGAGACACGAUAUAUUAGACCAUCAAUCGAAUCAUACACUCAAACAAGAAAGCAGAUUAACAAUUCUAGAUUCGUAGUCUGAUCACAGGAAAUGUUAGAUAAUCUAGCUAGUAAGAGAGUAUUUAACUCUUUACCAUAUAUAUACAUAUCUAUAUGUAUCUUAUCCAUCGAAGUUAAGAUAUUUGUGGGUUGUGUUUGAAAAGGACCUAAAAGACAAAAUGCCCGUACAUUAAUGUGGUUGCAAACAUUGAAUUAUAUGUUUGUAAUUUUCUUACUAGGAAUAAAGUGGUAUGAUGAUAACUUGAGAAUUCAUCAUAGAAGCCUUGAAGACUUUCAGCAGGAAUAUGCAUGCAUGCUUUCAACUAGGGCAAUGGGUGGUGGAGCUAUGACCAUAACAUGUUUUUGCCAUGGAAUAAGAAUUAGAUGUGCAUGCAUGAGAGGAAGGAAAGAGAGGGAGGGUGAGAAUGAAAUGUUAACUAUGGAAUAAGAAUUUAAAUAAGGUCACGCAUCCUUUCAUUUAUAUUUUUUAAAAAACACACAAACUAGAAAUACCACCUCCAAAGUGGUCUUCUUUAACCCAAAAAUAUACUCUUAAGGUGGUCUUAUAUGGCGAUACUAUUUGCAAGAGAGUGAAUGUCGUUAAACAUUUUUUUUUUUUUUUUUUUUAAAAAAAAAGCUUUGAUACAAAUGGAGGUGUCAGUUAAAAAUAACAAAUUGGAGACGACAUUUAAUUGUUUAUGUCUGUAUGCAAUUUCUAAUCAGUUUCCUUUAAAAGUUAUUUUUCUAGGUUUCCUAAUUGACAUGUUAUAUGCAAAGUUAUUUUAUAUAUUUUUUUAAAGGUUUUCUAAUUGUAUUUAUAUUCAAGUACCAGAGUACUUGCAACCAAAACAAAAACCGUGAAAUGAAUAUUUUACUAUUACAUUAUUUUUCAAACUUCUCGAAGUUUCCUAGUAGAGCAAUAUUGGUCCGAAUUCUCCAAGUUUGGAAAAGUAUUGCUCUUGGAUAUUAUACUAUAUUUUCAAAGAUUUAUUUAGUAUUGUGUCGAAAUAUUUAUAUAGGAACUCCAAAGUCAUGUGUGUUCAUGAGACUUGCCCAAUAUUAUUAUUAAGUUUUGAGAUGUUUCAUUCAUAUUUGUAUUUUGAAACUCUUAAGGGCUUGUUUAGCGAGGCCAUGUUAUAACAUGUUGGAGUCCUUAGCCACUUACACCAAGUUUUCUUCCCAUUUUAGUCGGUUCACCACUUCAUAGUACAUCUUCUUCCCAUGUCUUAGGUCCACCACUCCCUAUGUUGUCACUUGGUUGUUUAAUGUUUUACAUGAUUCCAAGUUUUCUACUAGAUUUUCAUGUCCUAUUAGCCUAGCUUUGGGGAGUCUAGAUCCCCUUGUUCCAGUGGGAUAAUACUAUUCACUACAAGGGUGACUUUUUAAGAAAGUAACAAUCCUUUAGACCGAUAAGGAUGAUAAAUCAAGCUCAUAAUGUUGGUGCUAUGACUACCUAUGCAAGUACCAAAAAUGGGUCAAUUAAGGAGGUAGAAGUCGUAUGAUGAUUUUAGUCUUUCUAGAUGAUGCGAACAAAAUUCAAGAGCCGUGCGUCCUGUAAAAAGCUAGAUGAAGAUGGCUAAAACACUUGUUCGAGACACUACUUUGGACCUUUAAUAUUUUCUUCAAUUCUGUAAUUUGGUUGAAAAUACUUACAUUGUGGGCGUCUACUUGCAUUAAUGACGCAUCGUGACAAUCGGAUGACUAAAGAUUUAGCUUAAAACACACAACUUUGGAAUCCACCAUGAAGUAGUGAGGAAACCUUAAGUUUAUUGAUAAUCUGAAAUAACAUAACCUAACCCUAGCCACAGGUUAAAAAUUCUUUAAAUACCCUAGAAGCCCUACUAAUAAACAAGGAAUUAAAAUAGGAAAAAUUACAAAGUUUUCAAAAACUUAUAAGACAUAAAAACUGGAUUUUGGGUUGUUAACGAUCUCGGAUGCCUGAAAAAGCUGUUCUCUUCGAAUCAAUGGGUCAUGGGCCCAAACUUGCAGCUUUCUAAGUGUGCCCUUUAGCGCGCCUCUUCAACUCUUCUUCAAUUGCCUUCGACAUCUUUUCUACAUGAAUUAAGUAUGUUCAAAGAAGAGAGUUCUUGUCUAAGAUGUCUUAACCACGUUUUAGUAUUUCGAUCUCUAAGGGCGUAUUGAGGAAUGGAGAUGAUGAUGUCGGGACAUUGUAGAAAGCUGGUGUCGGGAUGAUGGUUGUGGAUUUAUUCACCUAGUAGUGACUUUUGAAAUGUUUUGCGCAAAAUGAGUGGCUUUCUUUACCCGUUUUCUAUUCUGCCUGAUGGCUUGUGAAAAUUUUGGUACAAACACUAACUUAACUAGUAUGUGGUUUAGUAAUCAAGCAAGCAAGAUCUUAGGCAGUAGAAGUUGCCUAAGAUUGGCGAGUUUUGGUUUUCGGAUGAUUGCCAAACCACGACAAGUUGGUUUGUUUAAUGGUUCUUUCUAGCUUGGUAUGAGGUCACUCUGGGGAGCUUGAGUUUUGGUUUAAGAUUUAACAAUCAAUCUAUUAGAAGAUACAUAAGUGUAACAAUCAAUCUAUUAAUAUUCAUAGGCGCGAAAGAUUUUUCCAAUGUAUUGUUUAUCAAUCUUUUCCACCAACAUCGAAUGACCCCAUACAAGGAAAAAUGAAUUCGAAUUCAAGUAAAUCUUUUUUUUUUUUUGUCAAAUGGUGAUAUUUCAUUUCGAAACCUCGUCAAAAAUGGGGAGGGCACAAAAACUACAAAACAAAGCAACCUAGAAAGGAAGCUCACUAAUACAAUGCGUCUGAUCUCUAUUAGAGAUACGAUAUAUAAGUUGGUCUCUAAAGAUAGUCACCCUAGCAUUUUCCAUAUAUAAAUGCCUUGUGUUGUAAACUAUCUCAGUUGCUUGUUGGGUUGGUCUUUUAUAUAUAUAUAGGGACAUUCUCCAAUAAAUAUUCAUUAAAUAUGUUGGUAGUCUCUUAGGGACCGUAUAUAUAUAUAUAUAUAUAUAUAGGUUUUCUAUAAAAUAUCUAUGAAGGAAUUUGAUUUGACGUUUUGAUUUGCAUAACCAAACCAUGCGAUAAAGCCAGCAGCAAAUAGCUUCACGUUCUCAUUAUGCAUAUAAAACAAGUAUUUAUUUCAUUUCAAAAUCUCCAAAAUCAUAGUUGUGAUGUGGUCUUGAAUGAAACCCUUUUCUGAUGCUAUCAAGGAACAGUACUAAUGGUACAAAAAUAUCCAAAUCUGUAACAUAUAUAUUUUUUAAUUUGUGGGGGAAGGGAGGGCUAAAUUAGUUAAUUUGCUUUUCACUGUUGAAUUUACUUUUUUAAUAAAUCAUAGUUAGAUUAUUGCAUGCAUGUCCAAAGUGGUUGGUUAGAUUAUUGCAUGCUAUUUUUUGUAAAAACAUCUAAUGGAAUUAUUCUUUGUACUUGUUUUCUCUUGAGAUGAUUGGGUUAUUCUAUGGUGUAGCCCUUUUUUGGAUCUCCAAUAUAUAACUGGAAAAAUUCUGGGUCUGCAGAAAAUUGGAAAUCCAAUCCUGGGUUUGCUUGUAUUUUGCUUUAUAAUUGAAAAUGAAAUUAUGGGUUUGCAUUAUAAUUGGAAACCAAAUUCCAACACAAAAAGUUCUGAAUUUUUUGCAGUGGGGGGUAAGUUGUAGAUCACUCUGAUUGCUGGUUAUGUUAGUUAGAGACACUUAAGUAUGAAAAUAAUUCAAUUUUUUGGCAAGAUGCCAUCAUGCUUUAUGGCUUAGCGUUGAAGUUAUGCCAGUGAUAAAUUGCAGAUUAUCAAAACCCUGAAUUAGACAUUAGUGUGUGUGUCUUGGUGUUUGCAAACCAGAAGUUUGAAUAAUGGGGUUAAAUUCUUUUCCAUUUUUUUGUUUCUCAUGUAUGUUUUGUCACAUGUUAGUUCUUCAAUGUCUUAACAAUUUACUAGUGAACAUGCCGAUUGAUUUUUAUUUUUUUUCGUUUUUUGUUAUGAAGUACCAAGGAUGUUAUUGAAAGGUACAACGCAGACAUAAAUGGUGUCGAAAAAUUGAACAAUCAAGAGAUUGAGCUGCAGGUAAAUGAGUUCAAUGGUUACCUUUUCCGUUUCCCCCUUUUAAAUUGUUCUGCAAUUAAUGGUAACAUACUAUGUAAUCUGCACUUUGGAGCUUCAAAAUAUCUCUCUAUGUAGCAUCUGAAGGUUCUGAUUGUUUGAACAUAAAUAAAAACAUUAUUUCCUGUUACAUGCCAGACUUAUGUACAUAUGCAUGCAGCAGGGGUCGGCCUCUUGGGCUAAAUAUAUGUAGUUAGGUGGCUUUGAUAAGUCCAUUUCUAGUGGGACUUAUGAAUUUGGUCUACAGAUGGAAGGAAAUAGUAGUCUUGGGCCAAGUCCUGGUGUUGUUUUGAGAAUUAGCCAAUGAAAUAGAUUCAUCAGCAACUAUCAAUCAAUCAUAUUUUUUUUCAGCAAAAAAUACCCUGAACGAUCGCAAAACCCACAAAAAUAAAUAAUAAUAAUAAUAAUUUCCCUUGUUGCCCCAGCACCAGAAGACUCUAAACACAAAAAUUUGGAGCAGCUUAGCACAAGAAUAACAUGAAUACUUGGGUCAAAAUUUCAUUAAACUCCUUAUCUCUAUAGAAUUUGAGUAAUCAGGAAAGAAACUCUGUUUUGGUGCUAGAGUAGUGGUUGGUUGGGGAGUAAAAAUGUUGAAGUUUUUGCCCUAACAAUAUGGAUGAGUGGUAUCCUGCCAUCUUCCAAUAAAGUAAGAUUCCCCUACGUGUUAAUAUUGUGCUUUAGAUUUAAUCUGUCAUCUCAAUUUAAUCUGUCAUCUGUUCUUUUUCCAUUUGCCUUUAUCUAAGUUGGGUUUGUUGCUAUUAAUGAAAUCCCUAAGUUUUUCUAAGGUAUUAAUGACUAGGACAAAUUGUAAAUCCAUGUUCUUGUAUGUCCAAGUAAUCAUUUGAUUCCAUUUUCAAAAAUAUAUUGUAAUCCUUUUUGUUUUUUUUUCCCCUUAUAUUUUUCGAUGCUGACGUUUAUAAGCUUUUCAUUUGACAGAGACAGAUUAAAUUAUGUAAUGGUUCCCAUAUUUAUCAUUUUAGCUGGAGAAUGAAAACCACAUCAAACUGAGUAAGGAACUCGAGGAGAAGAGCCGCCAGCUGAGGUACAAAAUUCAUGAUCUUGUAAGAUAUAUGUGGCUGUUUAGCUGGUAUUGUUGUUUGAUGUAUCUGCUGAAAUUGGACGGGCUUGCAACAGGCAGAUGAAAGGUGAGGAUCUUGAAGGGCUGAAUCUGGAUGAGUUGUUGAAGUUGGAACAACUGGUGGAAGCAAGCCUUGGCCGUGUCAUGGAAACUAAGGUCUGCCCUAGCUAUUUUAUUUUCUAGUAACCAGUGCCCUAGCUUCUUCUUUUUCUUUUUCUUUUUUUUUCUUUUCUGGAUGAUUCUUGACUGAAGACAUAAGCAAUGAACCGUUAGAAUAAUAUAAAGUAGGUCUUUGUUUGAAGAAGUAUCGUCUCAGUAAAUAGGGUAUAUUUUUAUUGCUGUAUUUUGUGAAAAGCAUAGGUGUAUUCUGAGUUGUCACUAAGCUUUAUUUUCUGAAAACUAACAUCUAAAUGCUGUUCCUUUCUUUUCCAGGAAGAGCUGAUUAAGAGUGAGAUUAUGGCACUUGAAAGAAAGGUUAGAUGAUUGAUACGUACAGAUCUGUAAAUGGAAACAAACGUAAAAUAAUCACGACUUAAAAACAUAUAUAAAUUAACAUCAAUAAUCAUAACCAAGUUUGGCUUUGGUUCUCUCUUUCAUUCACUGACUAUAAUUUCAGGGAACUGAGCUAGUUGAAGCUAACAACCAGCUAAGGCAGACGGUAAGCAACUACCACAAUCAUGUACAUACUUCUUCUUACUUUUUCUUCUCCUCUUUUUGUUUUUUGAGAGGAAGAGUGCUCUUAAUAAAAGAUUAUGGGUUGAUCUUUUUUUCUCUUGUAAUUUUUUGCAUAGCAGAUGGUGAUGUUAUCCGGAGGAAAUACUGGACCUGCGCUUAUGGAUCCGGAGAGGUUGAAUAAUAAUAUUGAAGGUGGAGGAGAAGAAGAAGGCAUGUCAGCUGAAUCUGCUAUCUCCACCACCUGCAACAGUGCUGUCAGUCUCUCUCUUGAAGAUGACUCCUCCGAUGAGGUCACUUUGUCUCUCAAACUGGGGUGAGCUACUUUUGCUAUUUGCUAUUUAUAUGCUUUUAAGUUUCAUCUGAGAAGACAUGCUUGAUCAUUGCUUUAUUUGAUGGUACGCGGGCGUCGUGCAAUAAGAGGGAGGAGGAUAUUUCCCUUCCCUUGUGUUGUGAGGGUUUUGCUUAGAUUUAUUUCUGUACUUGUCAACUUUAUCUUGGGUUUCAUUUUUUAACUCUACCAAACCAAAAUAUUUGGAUUUUUAGAAAAGAAAAACUAUGAAUUGCUUAUCCCGCCGACAUUUUUUUUAAAUAUAGAAGUAUUGACAAUUCUCAGAAGUCAUCAUGAAUUUCAGAUAAAUUGUACAAAAACAAUUGCGCGAUGAUUUAUUUCCCAGCAACUUCAAUAUUUUCAGUAAUACAGUAUAAGUGCUCAUUUGGGCCUAACUGUUUUCACCUAUUUACUACACCGGAGCUUCUACAAUGAGGAGUUUAGAGUGAGGAGCUUAUUUGAGGGGUUUAAUCCCACUAUCAAACUAUUUAAAAUGUUUAAGUUCAUUGAUUUUCUCCCAUUUGUUGAUGGUGGGAUUGAACUCUUCAAAUAAGUUCCUCACUCUAAACACUUCAUUAGAGCCUUUCCGUCUACAUACUAACCCUCCCAAUUCGAUUGAAGAUGUUUUAGGGGUUUGUAGAUCAAGUUUCUUUUGAGGUUUCAUUUUUAUGUAUUUGGGCCAUUUCAUUUUUUGAGUUUAUUUAAAUUGAAAGAAGUAAGUGACUUUCACUGAAAUUUCACAUUUUUUUAAAUUAUAUUUUGUUAUAGAAAAUAAUAGAUGGCUUAUGUGAAUUAACGUCAUCGUUAUUGCAUAGUAUGGCAAUCUAAAUAAAAUUAAUUUAAACAUUUUUUUGUAUGAAAAUAAAAAUAAUUAACUUUCCCGCAUUGUUUUAUGAAAAUUACAGAAAGCUUCAGUUGAAGAAUCCCAACACUGAAAGGGGCUGAAAAUGUAGGGGAGAAUUUAUUCCACACCCACUAUGACAGCGUAACCUGCAUAAUACAAGUUAAAACAUCCCCACAAACAAAUGUUGGUGCACAGUUGCAUUCAUGGAAUUUUAUUUAUUCUUCACAUUUUAAAUAAAUUUACUAAUCAUUUUGUACGUAUUUUCUCUGAAUUUCAGGCGUUAAGAAGUGAAGAAAGAUGAAAGUUUACUCUCCUUAUAACUAAAUAAAUAAAGUUGAGGUAUUGUAAGAUAUCAGUAAUUGUGUGUCUUAACUCGACAUAACAUUGAAAAAUAUCAAAGGGAGGGUGACUGUGUGUUGUAUCUAAACCUAUGCGUUACAUGCAAGCUUGAAAUUGCUCUGACUUUGUAUUGUAUUUAAAACUCUGUAUUAAUGCAGCUUGCAUGGUGAGUUAUGUUGAUUUUGAAUUUGCUUGGGUUAUCAUUGUCACAGCGAGACACGUACUGUUUGCGUGGAUUAAAUGGAUAAAAGUGAACUGGGGGGAAGGAACCUGAGCAAGAUAUAGACAGCCACGUGUCGCAUGGUGGGCCCAAUCAAGUGACAUGACAGCGAAUGACCUGUCUCCAUCCGACUCCACAUAAAAAUAAAAUUUAUUCAUUUUUUUGUAACCCUACACGUAGUAAGAAUUAAACCGACAACAAACUAAACUUAAGAUACUUCUGAACGAAAAAACAUAACUUAGAUAUGGACAAAAUCGAUCACAAAAAGUAAGAUGCUACAUUUUGUGCUGACGCAUUACAAGAUCAACGGUGGAGAUUGCAUGCAUCAACGGCAAGGUGCAUCUGUCCCCGUCGAUUUGCUCAGGUUUCUUACAUUGUUUUCCCAGAAGAGACCGAAAGUAAAGCAGAGGAUAAUAGAAAUAGAUGUUUUCCAUAAAAAGGAAAAUUUCCUUUCUUGAACAACCAGCCACCACCAGCAGCCGCCCUUUAUCUCUCUAGUUCUCUUAGUUUUUCUGGACAGACCAAAACUUCAGACCGGGCUGAAACCCCGACAAAGGUAAACAUUAAAAACAGAGAGGAAAACCCAGAGAUUAAUUAAAUUAAUUAGGCUUCUUCUUCUUCUUCUUCUUCCUCUUCUUCUUUUUGUUGUGAACUUGUGACCUAUUUUGGUUGGUUUCUUCUUCUUCUUCUUUUUGUUGUGAACUUGUGACCUAUUUUGGUUGGUGGGUUUUUUCUGGGUUUUGUUCAUUUAGAUCUGGGGACCAUUAAAAGGUUAAAUUUUGAGAAGGAACCCAGAAAAUAUUGUGUAGUUUUUGAGUGUAUGAAGAUAAUAAUAUAUGUGAAAAGUGGUUGGUUUGAAUUUUUUUGAAGGGAAACGGUGAAAAUGAUGAGGGAGAAGAUCAAGAUCAAGAAGAUUGACUACCUGCCAGCAAGGCAGGUGACCUUCUCAAAGAGAAGAAGAGGGCUCUUCAAGAAAGCUGCAGAGCUAUCUGUUCUGUGUGAAUCUGAGGUGGCUGUCAUCAUCUUCUCUGCUACUGACAAGCUCUUUGAUUAUUCAAGCUCAAGGUACCAGCACCCACCACUAAAUACCUUAUAAUUCUUUUGACUCUUUCCUUC